Molecule: ribosomal RNA, 478 nt
Filed under: uncultured bacterium
Lineage: Bacteria
Description: bacterial SSU rRNA
Rfam family: Bacterial small subunit ribosomal RNA
Source: RNAcentral
UUGAACGCUGGCGGAAUGCUUUACACAUGCAAGUCGAACGGCAGCACGGGGGCAACCCUGGUGGCGAGUGGCGAACGGGUGAGUAAUACCUAGGAACAUGUCCAGUAGUGGGGGAUAACGCAGCGAAAGCUGUGCUAAUACCGCAUACGCCCUAUGGGGGAAAGCGGGGGAUUCGCAAGAACCUCGCGUUAUUGGAGUGGCCUAGGCCUGAUUAGCUAGUUGGUGAGGUAAAGGCUCACCAAGGCGACGAUCAGUAGCUGGUCUGAGAGGAUGAUCAGCCACACUGGAACUGCGACACGGUCCAGACUCCUACGGGAGGCAGCAGUGGGGAAUUUUGGACAAUGGGGGCAACCCUGAUCCAGCCAUUCCGCGUGAGUGAAGAAGGCCUUCGGGUUGUAAACUUCUUUUGCAGGGGAAUAAAGUUCGCUACGAGUAGCGAUUUGUAAGUACCUUGCGAAUAAGGAUCGGCUAACUCCGU